AAGGUGGGGUCGCAAGACCUCACGUUAUAGGAGCGGCCGAUGUCCGAUUAGCUAGUUGGUGGGGUAAAGGCCUACCAAGGCGACGAUCGGUAGCUGGUCUGAGAGGAUGAUCAGCCACACUGGGACUGAGACACGGCCCAGACUCCUACGGGAGGCAGCAGUGGGGAAUUUUGGACAAUGGGCGAAAGCCUGAUCCAGCCAUGCCGCGUGCGGGAAGAAGGCCUUCGGGUUGUAAACCGCUUUAGUACCGGGAAAAAGGGGUGCGAGGAUAAUACCCUCGUGCUUUGAUGGUACUGGAAGAAUAAGCACCGGCUAACUACGUG
This 323-nucleotide ribosomal RNA is filed under the name uncultured bacterium. Its description in RNAcentral is "bacterial SSU rRNA". It matches the Rfam family "Bacterial small subunit ribosomal RNA", at positions 202 to 507 of the family's 1533-position model. The record is from RNAcentral.